CCUUGCUAUUAUCUAUAAGUUGCCAUAACUAUGUUCUCCCCCUUUAUCUGGGGAAUGAAUAUCCCUAUCUAUUCCUAUCGCUUGGCAAUCCAUUGUUAUUAUUUCUAUCCUUAUUUUAUUUGCUCGGCUAUACGCAAGCAGAGCCUAUGAUUACCACUCUGUGGUAUUAAUACUACAACAUAUGAUACAUGUCGUCCUUGAGAGAGGGACGUCCAACUACGCCCAUUAGGACUUAGCCCUCAGGAGGUUGAAGCUAUGAUAUUUAAGCAAUGUCUCAAAAGGUCCAGUUACGGAAGCCGGAACGGGAGACACAAAGGAACCGAUAAAAUACAUAUAGAGAAUGAGAUCGCUCGAUACCAUCGUAUCAUACUACUAUAAGCCAUCCACUGACUGCAUUUUUUGCGGAUUCAUGGAAAGGUUCCUUUCCAUCCUGAUCAUCAAAUAUGCUGCUGUGCGGGUCCAAAGCUUCAUCUCGACCUUGCAAAUUCGAAAUCCCAGUCAACGUGAACACCCUUCCCCAAAUUAUUGGUCAUGUUCAUCGGCUCAAUCAUAUCAAAAGGAUGUCGUCCG
RNAcentral lists this small RNA (570 nucleotides) under Histoplasma ohiense. RNAcentral describes it as "hypothetical lncRNA". The record is from RNAcentral. Lineage: Eukaryota; Fungi; Ascomycota; Eurotiomycetes; Onygenales; Ajellomycetaceae.